AGUAAAAUGGCUGAAGUAUAAGCAAUAAAUUGUAAAUUUAUUUAUAAGAUAUAAUCUUUUUUACUA
RNAcentral lists this transfer RNA (66 nucleotides) under Apatania sp. YW-2014. RNAcentral's name for it is "tRNA-Tyr". It matches the Rfam family "tRNA". Rfam says of the family: Transfer RNA (tRNA) molecules are approximately 80 nucleotides in length. RNAcentral also lists the same sequence under 1 other name. Lineage: Eukaryota; Metazoa; Arthropoda; Insecta; Trichoptera; Apataniidae. The record is from RNAcentral.